GCGUGAGGGAAGACUGCCUAUGGGUUGUAAACCUCUUUUUUCAGGGAGGAAUAAAAUGACGUGUACCUGAAGAAUAAGCAUCGGCUAACUCCGUGCCAGCAGCCGCGGUAAGACGGAGGAUGCAAGUGUUAUCCGGAAUCACUGGGCGUAAAGCGUCUGUAGGUGGUUUGAUAAGUCAACUGUUAAAUCUUGAGGCUCAACUUCAAAAUCGCAGUCGAAACUAUUAGACUAGAGUAUAGUAGAGGUAAAGGGAAUUUCCAGUGGAGCGGUGAAAUGCGUAGAUAUUGGAAAGAACACCGAUGGCGAAAGCACUUUACUGGGCUAUUACUAACACUCAGAGACGAAAGCUAGGGUAGCAAAUGGGAUUAGAUACCCCAGUAGUC
RNAcentral lists this ribosomal RNA (383 nucleotides) under uncultured cyanobacterium. RNAcentral's name for it is "bacterial SSU rRNA". It matches the Rfam family "Bacterial small subunit ribosomal RNA", at positions 399 to 795 of the family's 1533-position model. The record is from RNAcentral. Lineage: Bacteria; Bacillati; Cyanobacteriota.